UUGCUAUUUUUUUCAUAGCACAUAUACUAAAAUUGGAAUGAUACAGAAAUGAUCUGUAUGGCCUCUGCUCAAGGAAACACACAAAUUCAUGAAGCAUUCCUUCUUUUU
This 108-nucleotide small nuclear RNA is filed under the name Castor canadensis (American beaver). The record is from RNAcentral. Lineage: Eukaryota; Metazoa; Chordata; Mammalia; Rodentia; Castoridae.